RNAcentral lists this ribosomal RNA (361 nucleotides) under Thoe erosa. RNAcentral's name for it is "partial 12S ribosomal RNA". The record is from RNAcentral. Lineage: Eukaryota; Metazoa; Arthropoda; Malacostraca; Decapoda; Mithracidae.
UACUAUACUAAACUUAAAGACAAGACUUGAAUAUUAUAAGAUAAGGACUUAAAAUUCAAAGAAUUUGGCGGUAAUUUAGUCUUUUCAGAGGAACCUGUUUUUUAAACGAUAAACCACGAAUAAUCUUACUUGCUUUAAAUAAAAAUCAGUUUGUAUACCGCCAUUAUCAGAUAAUAUUUAGAGAUUAAAUUAUUGAAUUUUGAAUAACAGUGAAAAUUAGGUCAAGGUGCAGCUUAUGGGCAAGUUAAAAUGGGUUACAAUAAGUUAUUUUAUUAUGGAGUAUAGUUUGAAAAAAUUAUAUGAAGGAGGAUUUGAUUGUAAUGUAAAUUAUUAAGAUAUAAAGAUAUAAGCUCUAAAUUAU